This 403-nucleotide ribosomal RNA is filed under the name uncultured bacterium. Its description in RNAcentral is "bacterial SSU rRNA". It matches the Rfam family "Bacterial small subunit ribosomal RNA", at positions 356 to 773 of the family's 1533-position model. The record is from RNAcentral.
AGGGAAUCUUCCGCAAUGGACGAAAGUCUGACGGAGCAACGCCGCGUGAGGGAAGAAGGUCUUCGGAUUGUAAACCUUUGUCCUUGGUGACGAAACAAAUGACGGUAGCCAAGGAGGAAGCUCCGGCUAACUACGUGCCAGCAGCCGCGGUAAUACGUAGGGAGCAAGCGUUGUCCGGAUUUACUGGGUGUAAAGGGUGCGUAGGCGGCUCUGCAAGUCAGGCGUGAAAACUAUGGGCUUAACCCAUAGACUGCGUUUGAAACUGUGGGGCUUGAGUGAAGUAGAGGUAGGCGGAAUUCCCGGUGUAGCGGUGAAAUGCGUAGAGAUCGGGAGGAACACCAGUGGCGAAGGCGGCCUACUGGGCUUUAACUGACGCUGAAGCACGAAAGCAUGGGUAGCAAAC